AAAUUGAAGAGUUUGAUCAUGGCUCAGAUUGAACGCUGGCGGCAGGCCUAACACAUGCAAGUCGAACGGUAACAGGAAGCAGCUUGCUGCUUUGCUGACGAGUGGCGGACGGGUGAGUAAUGUCUGGGAAACUGCCUGAUGGAGGGGGAUAACUACUGGAAACGGUGGCUAAUACCGCAUAACGUCGCAAGACCAAAGAGGGGGACCUUCGGGCCUCUUGCCAUCAGAUGUGCCCAGAUGGGAUUAGCUUGUUGGUGAGGUAACGGCUCACCAAGGCGACGAUCCCUAGCUGGUCUGAGAGGAUGACCAGCCACACUGGAACUGAGACACGGUCCAGACUCCUACGGGAGGCAGCAGUGGGGA
Molecule: ribosomal RNA, 363 nt
Filed under: Salmonella enterica
Lineage: Bacteria; Pseudomonadati; Pseudomonadota; Gammaproteobacteria; Enterobacterales; Enterobacteriaceae
Also listed under: 2 other names
Description: partial 16S ribosomal RNA
Rfam family: Bacterial small subunit ribosomal RNA
Source: RNAcentral